UUGCCAGUGAUAACCCACAUCAAUUCAAAACAUUGUGCUGUUAGUCAUAUAACCUUGUGGUGGCACAAAUAUAUUAUUCCUCUGCUUAAAUGGAUUCUGUUGCUUUAUGAAACACAGUACUUUAUUUUGCUUUAGAGAAAACUCAUUCAUCGGAUCUAACUUGUUCAAUUUCAGAACACUGAAAUACCAUUUUUAUUAACUGAUUACAAAAUAUUUUUACUAGGUAUAAAAAGAUGUUCUUCAUCAAACAAAUAUUUAAGUAUUUUAGUUUUGUAAAUAGUUUGAAAUUGAUGGAAGAUUACCUUUAAAACUAUUUAUUCGGCCUUCAGGUCUCUUUUUAACAAUUAAACUUCUUUUAACAGUUCCACUAAAUAACACAGAUUGACCCGAUCUACUGGUACAAUUUCGGCACUUCAGGAAUUUAAGGAUAUGGGUGAUGAUGCGUACGUGCAUUCCAUGAGUUCUUACUGAUUAUUACUUACAGGAUUAUUUAUUUAUUUAUUUAUUUGAGUUGGACUAAUGCAGGCCUAUUAACCUUUUUAAAAGUGGAUUUCUGCCAGCUUCUACUGUGUGUGGGUAAAGACAGGGAAAGAAAGGGAAAAAAACAAAACAAAAAAAAACCAACAGAGCAGCAGGAGAUAUGACAGCAUUCAUCUGUAAAGGGUUUUGGAUGACCACAUAUAUAAGAAAUUUGAUUUGUAAGCCACAAUUAAGAAAUUCUAGAACUAUUUUUUGUGGACAACAUUCAUCAUGCCAUCUGGUUCAUAUUUUUCAGGAAGAAUAAUAUAAACUCAGUGCUGUGGUAACACGUCCAGGUCUGCCUACAGUGUUAGAAGGUCACAUGCUAGUGGACAGAAGAGCAGUAAGGGUUUAGAGUGGGAUCUAAAACAGGAUUGUGCAGCUGAAGCAGUCAGAAACAGAACAAAGUUUGUUUUCCUACAAAAAUUCAAGCACGCUUAAAAUUAAGUAGUCAGCAAAAGAGAAGCUUCUGGACCUUGAACAUCAACCAACUUGAGCAUUUCCCAAAAGUAACCAGCACUGGAGAGAAAGCAGCUGAGAUGUACAACUGAAGGUGUUUAGAUGGAUUGGAAUAGGGGAAGAUAGUUUCCUGAAACCUCACAAAAAUUAGCAAAUGUCUUUUAAAGGAAAGGUGCUGUUCAUUUAAUCUUCUGGACAAAGAUUACGCUCUAAAUGGCUGCACUCUUCCUAGACAACUUUCAUUUAUAUCCACCCAAGACUUUCACAGACAUUGCCAACGUGGUAAGGCAUAUCAUGAUAUCUCACAUUCCUUCUCUAAAAUCCCUUUACUGAGGUUGCUAAAACAGAGUAACUAUAUACAAACUAGGUUAAAACUCCGUAACCCACGUCUGGCUUUUAUCACAUCUGUUUUCAAAGAAAAGGAGAAAAAUCAUCAGAAAGACCACGUGAAAGUCACCACGUUUGGUAGCUGCAGCAUUUAACAAAGCACCUAAUUAAGAACCUUGCUCUGCACAAGCAAGUCGGCAUCAGUCGGGGCUGCCAUAGGGAAGCCAAAUGUGUUGGGCGUAAGUGGGGCGCACUGGGGACAAGGUCUCACUGCUACAAACUUCUGGUGGGAUUUCAGUGCAACGGAAGAGAGUGAAGAGCACCUAAGUUUUUUUUUUCUUUUUUCUUUUUUUUUCCUUCCCCUUUAAAGGAGCUCAUUUAGGCAGAGACAAGUACACAGCAGCGAUUUCACUGAAACAUGAGCAACAAGUCUGCGUCCCAGCUGUGCAGGCAUAACUUCACCGCAGUUCCUCUCUCAAUGGAGCAUGGUUAGAAGUUGCAGUCGGGUCGUAUUUUCAGAGGUGUAUAAAAAUAUGACAAAAGGAAGCAAAGAAUAAUCCCUGUUAUAAGAAAGAUGAGAAGUCCAGUAGUGGCCAUUGAGAGGUUCCCAAGUAAAGCUCCUCAUUUACAAUUUAUUCUUGAGAUGAGAGAACUAAGACAAGACCUUUGUAGAAAGGCACUCAGCAGGGAGCUUUGAAGCUGCGAAAGACGCACACAAUCAUUAUUCUUGCUCUGGAGUCGUUUGCAGCAGACCACACUGCCUCCUGUUUGAGAAGAAGAGCCAGUACACUAGAAGUGUCCACCCUCCGUUCUCCUUCCUCCAGCUACAGACAAAGCUCGAGGAAAAGGAAAGCGGAAAGGAAGAAAUUGAGCUCUGUUCUUAAAAGGUGGUGGGACCUUCUUCAGAAUUAAAACGUUGUAAUAUACAAACCAUAGUGCCACACUGUCUUCAUGACUGUGGAAUAGGUAGUGAGUGGAGUACACAUAAUGCUCCUGCUACUGCUCCCUAAAACUCUGGUUAUUCUAGUGCAAAGUAUAAAGUGCCAACGACAUGGAAACAUGCAUGCUAAUGCAGAGACGAGAUUUGAGGUGUCCAAUGUGUUUGUGCUGAAAAAGCCGCCCCUUAGGAAAGCAGUGCUUUUUCGGGGGGUGGGGGGUGGGAACCACACACUAAAAACAGAAAAACCAGCAGAACAAAACACUCCCUUCCCCCCCAACCCUGUAAAUUAUAGCAUGCAACCACACAAUGCUAUCAUUCCCUCUCAAAGAUCACAGGGUCCAGCUUGCCUGAUCUUGCAUUUUUCCCUGCACGUUCCUGUAUUGGCUUUGCAAUUAUUCAAGCAUUCUGUUUUUAAAAGAAACACCUAGAAGUAUUUCUCCACUUAAAUAAACAAACAGUAUUAGCAAGAAGCCCAACACUCACAAAGUCCACUUUAAAAAAGUAAAACACGUAUGUUAGGGAUGAAUAAUUUUGCAGCAAUAAUAAACAUAAUACUUGGCUCUGAUACAGCAUUAUCCACAUGAAAAGAGAAAGUAUUUCAAGCCUCCACUGUGAUACAGUGAAGAAUUAGGAAGAAUUAUGAGUCCUGACAAAAAUGCCUUGAAGAUGUCUUUAAGAGUUUGGAAGUAUGUCUCCAUGAUCACGUUUCACAGCGUUUUAUCAGAACAUAUUCAGCUUCAGAAACAGCAGUGAUCCACAAUUUCACAAGUUGACCAAAAAGUCUUGCACUCAUUUGCAUCGCAAAUGGAAAGAAGCUUUUCAGACUGAACAAAUGCUUUCUCACACAAACCCCUCUUCAGCUGAAACUGUGUUCAAGAGAAAAGCAUGGAGGUGUCAGACCUGAGACAUUUGCAAGUCUGUUUUUAAUUAAGAGACGGGUAAAAUAAUUGCACUUUGAUUUGAAGCCUUAUAUUUCAGAAUACAGACUCUUUAGACACCACAGAACUGAAGAUUUGGGAGCCCAGAGCUCUCUGGGGCCAGUAAUGCCCUCCAUUGACAUUCUGCCUUUUGGAGCAAAUGGCACCGUCUUGUGAAGCAAUCUUUUAGCGUGGCAAUGCUAGGACUGCAGAACCUGUUUGUGUUUGGUUUGGCAGGCUACGGCAAUGUCAGUAAGGGCACGUUCGCACUGCGACCCAGAGGCUGCACCAGAGCCCAGGUUCCUUCCCGUGCCCCCCGUGACUAAACCUUCGAGGGGACUUUCACAGGAUUUCUGUCCACUCCAUCACAAAUCCCCAGCUCAAUCAAUGAAACAGUUCAGAGCCCAUAGUACUGCUGCUGCUUUUCUACACAGACUUAUCAGAAGGGACUAUAAAUUCCAGUGGAUUAUUUAGUAUUUACAGCCUUUGACACAGAUUCAUGGUUAAUUCACAACUUGGUCCAUUGUUUUCUAUCUAUUACCUGAACAUAAAUACAGAAUUCUAUACAGAAACAUUUUUCCUUGUCUUUCCUCCAAAUAUUUGCUCAGAAAUAUUUCAGUAACCUGGAUAACCCAGAAAGCCCUAGUGAAUGUUUCAUUUGGAAGACUCUCCAGUCCUUUGACCAUUACAAAAUUUCCCACCAAUACCACUGGGUUCAAAAUCUACUCCCAGUUAAUGAUGUCUGUGACUUACGGAGCUCUUAAUACAUACAGCAUGUCUUCACUUGUUUGCAAUUUGUUUGCAAAAUUUACUUCCCAGCACUCCCAUGCACGUCACUGUCCUCAUCAUGUGCAAUUUCAGAGAUGAGUCCAUGAACUGUACGGUAAACUGAAAUGAACAUACACAUGCAAUACAGAUUUUCUUGUGUGCCUUUCAAGGCAGCUGUGCAGUCACCCACGUCCCUGGAUGGCACAUAAGCUUCAGCACGUUUUCACCGAUAUCCCUUCUCACACAUUUGGCUUUCAAGACAGGCUUGUAAAUAAUGCGUGGCCCUGUUUCAUGUCUUAUUGAGGUAAAGCUUCUCGGAAUGUCCAAGGAACAAUAAUGUGGUAUUUCUUGAUUACAUAAGCAUAUAAAUGUGCAGACUAAUGAUGUUUUUUAAAGCAGACAGUGGUUUUCGCUUGUUUAAGAAACUUACAUCACAUAGAAAUAUAAUAUAGCUUGGAAGUUGCUGGCCACAGCACUUGCAUCUCCUGUCAGCUCGAGAGGCUGGGCUGGAGCCCGCUGGAAGCUGCUAUGCCCAGCGCUGCUGACUCUGCAAAACAGUUUCAAAGGGUCAUCGGUUCUUCAAAGCAAAGGCAACUGUCACCCAUGAAGGCAGUAGCUACUUCCACGUUGUGGCACAGCCCAUGAUAUAUAAGAUGAUGUUUUCUGACAAUAGUAAGGAUAUUAGUAAUAAAAAGUAGGAUAAUCACAGGAUUUUCUCUUGGUGAGCACGCUUGCCAUUCCUUGUUGAAACCGGUCUCUCAGAUUCAUUG
Cygnus atratus (black swan) is the source of this 4700-nucleotide long non-coding RNA. RefSeq lists it as uncharacterized. Lineage: Eukaryota; Metazoa; Chordata; Aves; Anseriformes; Anatidae. The transcript is spliced from 5 exons. The record is from RefSeq and is a predicted model, not a curated record.